Molecule: long non-coding RNA, 1206 nt
Organism: Phyllostomus discolor (pale spear-nosed bat)
Lineage: Eukaryota; Metazoa; Chordata; Mammalia; Chiroptera; Phyllostomidae
Exons: 3
Source: RefSeq, a predicted model, not a curated record
GCAGGGGUAGGGGACAGGUCCAGGCUAACUAUUUUCUGAAUCCCAGUUUCAUCCCAGCUUACCCAUCUGUCCUCAUGGAGAAACACUUCAUUUUAGGACUGGGAGGACUUUGAGUACAUUCCAGACCCAGACGCCAAGAAGCCAGAUGACUGGAACAAGGUGAUGGAUGGAGAAGGGGAAGGACCCUGAUACCAAACCUGAAGUGUAAGGGACAAUGGAAACCUCGAAUCAUGGACAAUCCCAAUUACCAGGGGGAGUGGAUUUAUCCAGAAAUGGACAACCCUGAAUAUAAGCCUGACCCUACCAUUUGUCGCUAUUAUAACAUUAGAGUUCUCAGCCUGGACCUUUGGCAGGUGAAGUCAGGCAGCAUCUUUGAAAAUUUCCUUCUUACAAAUGAUGAAGAGUUUGCUGAAGAGGUUGGAAAUAAGACCUGGAGAAUAAAAAGAAGUAAGAUAUCUCCCCACCCUGAAUUCCAGGUGUCUGACUCCUCAUUUGUACAAUGUUUUCAUUUGAAAAAUCAGCCUCACAGUCAUUGUCUUAUUUGCUGACCACAUGGCCCUGUGAAGUGGGGAAAGGGACUCACAUUCAUUGGACAGCUACAGCUUUGUACUUACCUCUGUGAGCACUUUCCAAAAGUUAUCCCACUUAGCCCUUAAAACAACCCAGCAAGACAGAUAUUAUUCCCAUUUUUCACAUGUAGGAACAGAGCUUCAGAGAGUAUAUAUAAACUGCCUGAGGUCACACACAGCUUUUAACUUGUUGCUUUCAAACUCACUCUCCUUCUGCGUCCCUCUCCCUACUCACAGUGUGGUAAAUUAGAAGGGAGCCACUGAACCCAUGUCUGAUGGAUGACUUGGAGAAAGAAGGGAGUUGUUUGUGGUGUCUACCAGCUUUCUGCCCUCCUAGAACUAUUUUAUGGGUGGAGUGACAUUUGGGACAAUGACUCCAUGAUGGUGACACCCUCCAUCCUGACUUCCUGGUUCUGCAGGAAGGUCCAUUCAAACAGGUUUUGACCAGCACUGGAUUACCCAAUGGGCAGACUAAGCUCAUGCUUAGAGUGCCAGGAAAGCACAGGCACACACACACAAAACUUUUGAGAGAACUUUGAUACUUAAUACUUUGAAAGAAACAUUGAAGACUCACCAUGGGGAAAAAUUAUUAGACUUUUGUAUACUUUUUAGUCUGGUUUUGUUUUACUUUUACUUU